UUCGUAUGAGUGCUUAACUUA
Molecule: non-coding RNA, 21 nt
Filed under: Caenorhabditis elegans
Lineage: Eukaryota; Metazoa; Nematoda; Chromadorea; Rhabditida; Rhabditidae
Source: RNAcentral